GUAGGUGGCAAGCGUUGUCCGGAAUUAUUGGGCGUAAAGCGCGCGCAGGCGGUCCUUUAAGUCUGAUGUGAAAGCCCACGGCUCAACCGUGGAGGGUCAUUGGAAACUGGGGGACUUGAGUACAGAAGAGGAAAGCGGAAUUCCAAGUGUAGCGGUGAAAUGCGUAGAGAUUUGGAGGAACACCAGUGGCGAGGGCGGCUUUCUGGUCUGUAACUGACGCUGAGGCGCGAAAGCGUGGGGAGCAAACAGGAUUAGAUACCCUGGUAGUCCACGCUGUAAACGAUGAGUGCUAAGUGUUAGGGGGUUUCCCGCCCCUUAGUGCUGCAGCUAACGCAUUAAGCACUCCGCCUGGGGAGUACGGCCGCAAGGCUG
This 372-nucleotide ribosomal RNA is filed under the name uncultured organism. RNAcentral describes it as "partial 16S ribosomal RNA". It matches the Rfam family "Bacterial small subunit ribosomal RNA", at positions 527 to 896 of the family's 1533-position model. The record is from RNAcentral.